This 384-nucleotide ribosomal RNA is filed under the name uncultured eukaryote. RNAcentral describes it as "SSU rRNA". It matches the Rfam family "Eukaryotic small subunit ribosomal RNA", at positions 587 to 972 of the family's 1831-position model. The record is from RNAcentral.
AGCUCCGCAAGUGUAUAUCUAUGUUGCUGCGGUUAAAAAGCUCGUAGUUGGAUCUGCGUGUUUAGCGUCCGGUUCGUCUUCGCGACGUUACUGGAAUUGCGACACAGAUGUGUUGGUUUGUCAUUCAUUUUCUUAACCGGGAGUGAAUGGCGGCUAACGAGUUUACUUUGAAAAAAUUAGAGUGCUCAAAACAGGCGUUUCGUCUGAAUAUUUCUGCAUGGAAUAAUAGAAUAGGACUUCGACUUCUAUUCUGUUGGUCUCCGGAACUGCGAGGUAAUGAUUAAGAGGGACAGACGGGGGCAUUCGUACUGCGACGUUAGAGGUGAAAUUCUUGGAUCGUCGCAAGACGCACUACUGCGAAGGCAUUUGCCAAGAAUGUUUUCA